This 253-nucleotide ribosomal RNA is filed under the name uncultured bacterium. RNAcentral describes it as "partial 16S ribosomal RNA". It matches the Rfam family "Bacterial small subunit ribosomal RNA", at positions 524 to 776 of the family's 1533-position model. The record is from RNAcentral.
UACGGGGGGAGCAAGCGUUGUUCGGAUUUACUGGGCGUAAAGGGCGCGUAGGCGGCGUGACAAGUCACUUGUGAAAUCUCCGGGCUUAACUCGGAACGGUCAAGUGAUACUGUCGUGCUAGAGUGCGGAAGGGGCAACUGGAAUUCUUGGUGUAGCGGUGAAAUGCGUAGAUAUCGAGAGGAACACCUGCGGCGAAGGCGGGUUGCUGGGCCGACACUGACGCUGAUGCGCGAAAGCCAGGGGAGCGAACGGG